Molecule: long non-coding RNA, 13569 nt
Filed under: Medicago truncatula (barrel medic)
Lineage: Eukaryota; Viridiplantae; Streptophyta; Magnoliopsida; Fabales; Fabaceae
Description: long non-coding RNA (MTRU_LNC000695)
Source: RNAcentral
AGUGAGCAUUGGAGAUGAGUUUCCAAACUCUAUAAUUUCCUUCUCAUAUCUUUGUGAAACAUUUUCCUCAGCUACCUUAGUAGAUAUUAUGAAAUUUGAAUUUGAAAAUCCAAAAACUUUCAACAUGUUAUCUACAAAAGCAAAAAGGUAAGAACUUGUUCUCUUAUAAACCCACAUCCUCAACUCAUUCCACCAACCUUUAAUUGUACCUCCUACUCUCAGAAACUCUAACAAACAAUAUGUUGAAUCACCAACUAUGACAUAUGCAAAAGGUAUGAACCAUGGACUUGAAAUCUGAUCAAUUCAUCAAAACAAAAAUUAGAAUAACAUUACUAGAAAUCAUAAGAUAGUUUUAAGGGUUAACAGUGCUUUACCCCCUUGUAAUAUAGGUCAUUUCCGGUUUUCCUCCUUGUAAAAUAUUUUACAGGGACGAAAUCUUCAAAUUACAAGGACAAAAUCCCAAAAAAAUAUUUUACAAGGGGUAAAACCGGAAAUGACCUAUAUUACAGGGGGUAAAACACUAUUAACCCCAAUUUUAAUUUAAAAAAUAGAGGUAGUAACAUUUUCAUACCUGUGGGAACAAGGGAAUGCCUUUGAGUAGAUAAAGUGAAGGGAUGAUGGAAUAAUAGAGAGUUGGAAUAGAGUUUAACGCCCAUAGAUUAUAGUAACAAUAAGACAUUUGAAGACCUGGAUUGAUCAAUCCAGAAGCAUACCAAAUAGGACUGAACUUUGAAAGUACAAUUUGAAAUUGUCCUUCAGACCAUCUCUUAUGUUGAACAAGUGAUUCUGGUAAGGUUGUUGGAGUCAAACCUAAGAAAGGUCUCCUUGUUGGAUUAUAAUAUACUGAUUUCCAUCCUUUACAUAAAAUAUAUAAUCCUGUUAUUACAUCCUCCACUACACAACCAUAUAGUAGUCCCAUCUGCAAUCAAAAGUAUUCAUACAUUUUUUAAAUUUAUAAUAGUACAACAAGAUAAUACUUUUUUGAAUUCAAUAUGUUUUUACUCCUUGACGUAUAACAAAAAGGAUCCUAAUUCACUAUCAUAAGAGAACCACACGUUUAUACGUAGUAAACAAUCUCAGAUGCCGUUAGUUUGAGAUCAGACGACUCAUAUUACACAAUAACAAAAUAUUUUAAACCAUAUCUACCAUUAAACUGCGUGAGAACUAUUGUGAGAAAUCUGUUUCCUCGUAAGUUCUUGCAUUCAUCCAAACACAUAUUGUAUAACCAAUAUUUUUUUUUUUUGGUAGAAAAUGUAUAACCAAUAUUCAAUAGCUUUUGCAAUGACACUUUGUAACUAACAGGGGUUAGUAUCAUCUCUAUUUCUCAAAAUAAAUUGAGAAUCACAUUUGAAGAGAAUGAUCCACAAAGGCUUAAAAAGAUAUUUAAUGCACUAUCUAUUUUUUGCAUAUUUUUCUUAUAAAGUGAUGUCCUCUAUAUAUAUAUAUAUAUUUUUUUUUUUUUUUUUGAAAUAGAGAGGAUUCUAAUUCGAUGAUUUUAAGAAUUGAAUGACCAAAAUAAUGGAAAAACUUUGUAACCAAAAACCAAAGUUAUCAUAUUUUAAAAUUUUCCAAAACCCUAGUUUUUUUUUUUUUAAAUUUACUUUUGAUUUUGAAUGAAAAAGAGAGUGAUUGUGACCUCUUUUCCCCAUGAUGUGUUUUCCUCGUAGGUACAACUUGCAAGAGUCUUUGAUUUUUCUUCUAGCUCUUGCAAGCUUACUUCUUUUAUCAUAUGAUCAAUAUUUUCAUCAUUUGCAUUCUUCCAAUCAAUCUUGUAUUGAUCACUAUACUUUCUUCCACAUAGUGCAUCUCUUCUAUGAAAGCAGCCAGUUCCAAUAUACAUGGGCCCGCCAAAUCCAUCAAAGCCAUGUAAAUCCACCUACAUUACAUAUGUGUUCAAAGUUUAUAAACAAUUGGUGUAAAUAAGCUACUAUUGGAGUCAAUCAGCAUAUUUAUAGGGACCAAAAAUAUAUUUAACUCUUUAGUGUAUACACUUCAAUUUUAUGAACAUAUUUACCUCAUGAGGUAUGCGAAAAGAACCACCGUAUAUGUCAUUUUUUGUGAUAUUUUCAAAGCCCUGAGGAGCCUGCACAAAGGCAAUUUCAUGUCCCUUCUCUUCAUCCAUGAAGAAGCAAAGUGCAUCUCUUAUUGAUUGAGAAUUGUUUGAGUACAUGUCACAAUCUACAUUCAGAAUUAUUUUCCCAUUGCUAAUCAUUGAUGACACCCUUAUCUGCAUUGUGGACCAACAAUUAAUACACUGCAUACUUUCUUGGGGAACAAUUAAUACAUUAUAUAGAGUACCAAUGAAUUCAUAGCUCCAGCUUUGAAGUUAUGUUGAAAUUGGGGUCUUUUCUCACGAGCCAAAUAUACCAAUGUGGGCAUAACAAACCCAUCUUCAUCUCUGGCAUUGUCUUUUCUAUGAAGCAGUAUCUAUAAACAAAUUAAUACAAACCAACUAAUUUGUCAUAUUAAAUUAUUAGUAUAUCAGGAACGACAAUCAACUAUCGUGGAGGUAUUUGAAUAAUUUGAAGGUGUCUGGAAGCAAUUUUAGAAGUCUAAAGAGAAAUUCCGGACAACAAAUACGAAGAUAUUUUAAACUAGGUGAAGGAAAUUCAAUCAGAAAAGAAAAGGAUACAUACAUGAAGAAUUGUGUCAUGGUCACGUUUAGAUGAAUAUGAACCCCAUUCAGAAAACUCCUUAUGCUUUGAGUAUGUUUCUUCUGGUACUUUACCCAACUUGGAUGCAUUUUCUACUCGACUUUCCAUAUCUUGGUACAUUCUCUAUGACAUGAAAAUAAAAAAAGUUUCAAAUAAUGGAAUCAACAUACUAACAAAAAUGAAAUGAAUUUCCAAUUUUGUUAUUAAAUAAUAUUGGGUACAUUUAUAAAACUAAAAGAAUAAAAAAUUUAGUACAAGGAAAUUAGGACAAAUUUUAUUUUGUUUGUCUUUAAUUUGGUUGCAAAUCAAUUUCAUAGGAUUAAGUAGCAAGUCUAACAUGUUGUCUUUAUUGAUGUGAAGUACACUUGUUUUUUGUUUUACAGGCGAAAGAACCACAAUUGUUGUUGUAUAUAAGGAGGGAUCCAGAAAUUUCAACUUGUGAAGUUAAGGUCAUUUAUUAUAAAUGAGUAGUGAUAUAUGUAAAUCCAUUUAAAGAUAACUUUGAUGACUAUCUUGUUUUUUUCUCUUUUUAUUGGUCAAAAAUUAUGGGGAGAGAAAAAGGAAGAGAGGGAAAAAGAAAAUAAUGUGAAUAUAAGAGAGAAAAUUGUACAAACGUUGUCAUAAAGUGGUUGUACGAAUAUCAUUUCUUUAUCGUUUAAACGACGACACCGUUAUAAUUAAGCCAAAAAAUUAAUAACAUUAUUUCUUCAAAAUUGAAGACACCUUAUCAUUUAAAAAAUAUAACUUCUCUCCACGUGUCUUUAUACACCGUCAAAUAUAUCAUUUUCUGUGUACGUGACUAAACAAUUAUUAAAAAUUUAUCUUCAAUAUUUUAGGGCAUUUUUUUAGCAUCCUAAAGUAGUAACUUUUACAUUGAAAAUUGUAUAAUUAUGACUUUUACAUGUGUUUGAUUUGUAUUUUCAAAACAAUUUUAUUUUGAAGGUUUCUUAAACAAUGCGCUUAAAGAAUUUGUUAGCAAGACUCAUACAUUAAUCAAUCUAAUGAAGUUUUAAUUAGCUGUCUUUGUAGGAUCAAAGCAAGAUUUAAAGAGGGGGCAAAACAUUAUAAUAAUUAGUUAGUAGUUACAUUGAAGAAGUGGGGUCAAGUGCCCCCUUGAUAUAACAUGGAUCUGUGCUUGUUGUAUAACACCUCUCAUGACAAAGUUUCACUUUAUUGCAAAAUUUUGCAUUUAAAAAAGAUGGGUCCUCAUAUACUGUCUUGAUCCAAUAGUAGAUAGAUAUUACUAAUAAUGCUAUACAACCCUUUUUUUUAUUUUUAUUUAUUCUUCUUCUUCUCUCUGUAUGUUUCCAUCAUCGUAGAUAAUCUUAUUUGAGAUAUUUAUGUCAUCGUGAGCUUAUCUUAGUUGAUAGGGACAAUAUAUAAUAUAUGCAAGGUUUGAGUUCAAAUCUCGACACUACAAAAAAAAAAGAUAAUCUUAUUUGAGACGAAUCAUAUACUAAAUGUAAAUAUUUAUUUCAGCUAUAAUUCGACCAUUGGUUAGCCGCAUAUUGUGCCACUCUAGUCCCUUGUACUACAUUGGUUGCUAUGCGGCAAAUUUUAUUAGUAAUAAUUUGUUCAAUUAAAUUAAAUAACAAUAUUCGCUCAAAAAAAAAAGAGGGGUGCAAAAUCGCACAAUUACCAAAAAAUAGGAGGAAAAAGUGCAAUUAAACCAACAAAUUAAAUAACAAUAAUAUGUUCUAUCAAAUUAACCUAAAAUAACAAAAAAGAUAAUAAUAAUCUAAGAGCACACCUUUAUACCCCUCUCAAUCACAAAUCAGCUCAAUGAGGAGGAGAGGUCUGACCCCUCAUCCUUAUUAAGCUGAUUUAUGAUUGUAUUUAAUUUGUUCAAUAACAAUAUUUUCAAGCCAUCAUUUUCACCGUCAGAUCCCUCUUCCUCAUUGAGCUUAUUUGCGAUUGUAUUUAAUUUGUUCAAUAACAAUAAACCGUUGUUAUUGAACAAAUUAAAUAACAAUAAUUUGUUCUAUCAAAUUAACCUAAAAUUUAAUAAAAAAUAAUAAAAUUUGUCUUCAUUUUCACCGUCAGACCCCUCAUCCUCAUUAAAGGUGAGCUCUUAGAUUAUCAUUGAGCUAAUUUUCACCCGUUGGCAUUUAGGAUUAGCUUUUUUCAAAAUCUAUUUUUCUAAAAAUAACAAGGCAACGCAUAUACAAGUUAAAAAUCUUGUAUUUUUAAGUGAUUUUUAUGAAUAGUAAACAAAAUAUUUUUUAAAAAAAUCUCUAAAUUCUUUUAACAAUUUUUUUUUUUUUAAAGGUGAAACAAACACACCCUUACAUAUUUAGAGCAAAGUUGGUUACUUUGUUACCUUGAUGGCCAAAAACUCUUUAGCAUUAUUUGGGCAAGUGUCUAAGGUCUUGAAAUAUGCAUCUGGAGACCUAGGUUCAACUUUGAAUCUCUUACAAAAUGGCAACCAAUGCUUCGCAAAUUUAGAAGCUUCUAAGAGAGCAUAAAAUGUAACGUCUGAUCCACCAUCAUCUGAAAGAUACACACUAAGCUUCUCUGUUGGAUAAUCAUAUGCCAUCACAGAUAAUACUGUGUUAAUCACCAUUAUUGGUGGCUCAAUAUCUGGAUUUGCCGUACACACAAAUAUGUCCACUUUGGGUAGCAUGUUCUCAUAUCUGCUUCAAAACAUGUACACUUAACUUUCAUCAAAAGACAUCUCAAUAAUGAUACAUACUUAGAAAAAUUAUAAAUGGGUUUUUCUAUGGAAGUAAAAUUUAUGAAAUAAAAAAAUUAUGAAUAUUUUUGUCUUUACCCACUAGUUUUCAAAUGAAAGAAGAAGUAAAAUGACUGUUUCAACUAGGAGUAGAAACUUGAUCAAUCAAUGAGUCCGCUAACAAGUGUCCUAAAGACAAUGUUUAAUGAGUUUUCAAAAAGAAAUUUUAUCUUGAAAAUACAAGUUAAACACGUGUAAAAGUCAUAACUACAAAAUCUUUCAUGUAAAAACUACUCUCCCUCCGCCCCAUAUUAAGUGACACAGUUGACCUUGUCACACAUAUCAAUACACAAUUUUGAUCUUAAAUAACUUUACUUAUCUAUUAUAAAAAAUUAUAAAAAUUUGAUAUUUUAAAAAUAUUCAUCAAGAUGAAUCCAACCACAUCUUAUAUCUUAUAUGAUAUUAUUUAUCUUUGUAUAUUAGUAGAAAAAUACGGUCAAAGUAUGUUAGGUUAAUAAUACAUAUUUUCAAAUAGGUUAUCUAUCGUAGGACGGAGGGAGUACUUUUGGAUGCUUAAACAAUGCCUUAAAGACACUUAUUAGUAUUUCCCCUAAUUAAUUUACAAUCCAUCCAAUAUAUAUUCACUACAAAAUUCAUUCAACUAAGAUUCAAACUAGAUUACUCCCAAAUUUCCAAUCGAUUUUCCCUUUAAAAACUUAAUUAGCUAUUUACUUAAUUCAUGAAAUUUAACUAACUCAAUUUUUUUCAAUACAAUAAAUAAAUAUUUAAAUUAAAUUUAAUAUUUAAAAGAACAAUUAUAUAUUAAAUAAAAGGAAAAUGUUAACGAGUGUCCCCAGACACUCUUUAAGCACUUUUAAUAGUAAAAUAAGAAUGUAUUGCUGGUGUUUGUCGGUGAAUAGCAUAUAUGGUUGACCCUCUAAAAAAUUCAUAUAUGUUUUUUGGUGAACAGAAAUAGGUGUUGAGAUCAACAAAAAAAAGGAAAAAGUAAUAGGUGUGGUGUACUUAUUCUAUGAGUUUCAUUCACUUGUGCUCAAAAUGGAGUAACUUAUAAUAAAAAGUUUAUAUGAUGACAUGAUUAAAUUAAUCUUAUAAAUAUACUUACUUUAUACAUAAUAGUUGAUUAAAUAUUGCUAUAUAUAGUAGAUGUGUAUGACGACUACAUAUAUAAUGUAUAUACCUUUGAGUGAGUCUUUCAGGGAAGGGUUGCCUGAAAAUAGGGUUCCAUCUAAGGGCUUGACGAAGGAACCAAUAAAAACCAAACCAUAAUUCAGCACAAAGCAAUCCAAUCCAAACCCAUUUUCCAUCUUCUUUGGGUAUGUAACUCAAUCUGUAAACCCAAAUGGACCAAAUUCCUAUUAACAAUGAGAAAGAGAAUACUCUGUACAUGAGUCUUCCCUUCCUUCUCCUUGUCUCAAACAAUGGAUAAUACUCCUCUUUUGCCAUCUUUGUUAAUUCUUGAGUUGUGAUUCCCUAUGGUAUAUGAACUCAAUGAGAUAUGCUAUUUUAUACUCAAAGAAUAAAUGUGUGUAUGUGGUUAAAAAUGUAUGCAUGUAGCAUUAUAUUUGGUCCUUUUCAUAAGACACCUUGAGUAUUUUUUUUAUUAUUAAUAUAAGAAACAAAGAAAUACAAUUUUAAAAUACGUACAUGAAUUGUUAUAUUUCCUUAAAUUUUUUUAUUUUGUUUGUAUAGUAUUUUGUUUGUUUGUUUUUCAUUAAAAGUUCCUAAUGGCAUUUCUGAUCGGUGGUUGAUCAAAUUAAUUUUUUGGCCUCGUGUGUCGUUUCAUAGUAGGGAGAGAACCAAACACAGUUAUGACUUUUUCUGACAGGUGAAGUAGUAGUAUUGGAAAAUCAAAUUCAAGAUAAAAUUCAACACUUCAACAAAAUAUUAAUCAAUCUUCAACAGCACACGAAUGGUAAAAAAGAGGAGUAUGAUGAAAAGCUUGGAAAGUUUGUCAAUUAUAUGGAGUAGUUUAUUUCAUCUAUAAAUAAUUCUCACAAGACAACAAAUGUCUAAUAAUCUAUCCGGUCUCACAAUAUUAGUUGUUUAAGGUGUUGUGAAAGUGACUCAAAAUUGAAGAAAUUAGAGUUAUGAUAUUGUCUAAUUCGGUGGCCGAAUUGACUAGCUCGGUGGCCGAAUUUGAGUGUUGUUUUUCGUCUGUUGGUUCGGCAAAAAUCGGUGGCCGAAUGGAGGAAUUCGGGGUCCGAAUUUGCCAGCAGAAAAUAUAACAGAAACGUAUUUUCGAGCCUAGAUUUGUUCCAAUUUUAUGAGGGAUACUUUUACUAUAAAUAUAGACUUUGUAUCAGAGUAAACCUUGAGAUAGAGAGGGCUAAAACAAGGAUUUAGAAGCCAACAAGAAAACUAGGGUUUGUAUAGUGUUUGCUCUUGGCAACAAACACUAGGGUUGGGGUUGAUUUACCGGGAAACACUAUUAGGAUUGAGUCUCUUGGUCACGGGAAGAGAUUGAGACUUUGGGUAGAAUUAGGCGGAAGACUUAUUCUUGUAACCCGAUGAUAUCUCUUUGUAAAGUUACUCAUCAUUAUAGUGAAAAGGAGGGCUGCUCUCUCCCCAGACUAGGUCAAUUUAGACCGAAAUGGGUAAACAAAUUCUUUUGUGUUCUCUCUUUCUUUCUCUCGAUGUUUUCUACUUGUGGCUUGUGUUUAUAAAUUCCAUACACUUUGUUUUGGUUGCUUGAUUUUCACUUGCUUCACACAUCUAGUAUUUAUUGGUGUGAUUUUUCAUCGAAUUCACAACAAUUGGUGUCCACCGUGGGGCAAGGAUCAAAGGAUAAUCAAGUAUCAUGGGUUCAAAGUGGGAUAUUGAGAAGUUUACCUGAGAUAAAGAUUUGGGGUUAUGGAAGGUAAAGAUGGAAGCGGUUGUAAUACAACAAAAAGUGUGAGAAAGCUUUGAGAGGGUGAAGCUGCGUUACCGGUCACCAUGUCACGAGCGGAGAAGACUGAGAUGGUGGACAAUACCAGGAGUGCCAUUGUCUUGUGCCUCAGGGAUAAAGUUUUGAGAGAAGUAGCGAAGGAACCAACGCAUCAUCGAUGAGGUCAAAGUUGGAAUCUUUGUAUAUGACAAAGUCUUUGGCUCAUCGGCAAUUUCUAAAGCAACAACUCUAGUCAUUCAAGAUGGUGGAGUCAAAGGCCAUCAUGGAGCAAUUUAUAGAGUUCAACAAAAUCCUUGAUGACUUGGAGAAUAUUGAGGUGCAACUUGAGGAUGAAGAUAAAACUAUACUCUUGUUGUGUGCUUUACCGAAAUCUUUUGAAUCGUUCAAAGAUACCAUGCUAUAUGGAAAAGAAGGAACUGUUACCUUGGAAGAAGUUCAAGCGGCUUUGAGAACCAAUGACUUGAGAACUGAUGAAAACGGUGAAGGCCUAAGUGUUUCAAGAGGUAAUGGUGGAGGUAGAGGUAACUAGAGAAAGAGUGGUAACAAGUCAAAGUCUAAAUGCUUUAACUGUCACAAGAUGGAUCACUUCAUGAAGGAUUGUCCGGAGAUUAAUGGCAACUCCACACAAAUUGUCUCUGAGGGUUAUGAGGAUGCAUGUGCUCUGGUGGUGUGUUUUUUGGAGGAUGAAGAAGGUGAUGUGUCUCACCUUGGGAUUGAUGUAUGGUAGAGCGGUGGUCGUCUAGAGAGACGUUAAACACUCAACAUCAGCAUGGAGAAGAGGUGGUAAGAAUACUCAUGAUCAGUCUGGAGAGGCGGAGGUAACAAUACUCAUGAUCUACCUGUUGAGGGGGAGUUUUAAGGUUGAAGACAUAGUGAGGUGUACACAUUUUCUAGUUGAGAGGUUGGAAGCUCAGCUUGAGGUGGAGUUGAACACACCAGUAAUGGUACGGCUAUGGAGGACCUUCGGUGUUAUGCUCUACUGGUGAGCAAGGGAUUUCUUCAUGAAGACGGAAGGCAUUCCGAAGGUUGAAGAAUGUAUAGCACGGCUUGCGGGAUUACCCUAAAAAAAGGCCAAGGGUGAUUGGAUACAAGGUGAUCUUCACAUAAGCGGGUGAAGGUGAGAAAAACACAAGAAGGGGGGGUUGAAUUGUGUUUUCUUUUUCUCUCUAAAAAAUUCUUCUUCUGAUAAACCUUCAGAAGCAGUUUGUGAGUGCUUCUGAUGAAAUGAUCAGAAUCAGAUAUGCAGCGGAAAAGAACAGAGCAGAGAAAAGAAAGACAAAGACACAAGCAGUUAUCCUGGUUCCUUCCACAACACGGAAGUAGUCCAGUCCCCCUUGCACUUCCAAGGAGAUUUCACUAUAAUCACAAAGAUUACAAAUGCUCAAUACUCUCUAAGUAUGAGACUUCACAAAAAUGCUCAAGCACACACGCAAGAGUCUUCCAAUGCUCAAGCACUAAGCAAGAGACUUCUAAUGCUCAAGCACGCAGGCAAGAGUCUUCUGAUCAAACAAAAAUACAAAGAAUUAAGUUUGACUUGAACACUUGAUAUACAAUCAGUGGUGUUCUCAAUACAAUACGAUAAAGACUCUAGACUUUUGAAUUUCUAAGAUGUAUCAAAUCAGUGCAGAAAUUCAGUGUGCUUUGUAGAAUCAAAUUGACAGAGUUUUGGCGCUUUUGAACUUGUGUAUCUCUAUCUACAAUCUUCAAGUCUUCACUCCUUUAUAUAGAGGCGUGAAAGAGACGUUGAGAUAAUUAGCACGUCUAAAGAGUCGUUUGAAAUCCUUUGAUCAUUCACCAGUAAUCCUUUUCCUGAUUUGGGUGUAGUCCUUUGAAGAAUUAGCUUCAAAUUCAUUCCCAUCUUGAAGGCACAAAUUCUGCAGGCAUAGCUGUUGUCUUGUCUUGUAGCGUGGACAAAAACAGAGUAGUGGAGGUAGUGGUUGUACACUUGUACUUUGUCAACUCUGUUAACGAAGGACAAAUGCUCAGUACUAUCCAAAUGACCGUUGAUACCUCCCUUUCAAUUCUUCGUUCUUCUUAGAUAAGGUUGAAAUGAGAAACAGCUACUUUAGAUCUUCAGUUUGAAUAUACGGAUUGAAUGUAGCUUCUGGUGAUGAUUUCGCUUCUGAUGAAAACCCUGCUUCUGAUGACCUUCUGCUUCUGAUGACGUCAUCACUUCAGGAGCACUUCAGCUUCAGAAGCACUUUAAGCUUCAGACGCAGUUUUCUUCAGAUGCUUAGAAUUCUUUUUCUUUCCAUUGUUCUUCCAAGACCUAUUGAAAUUACUUGACUAGCCUUUGGUCCUGUACACUUGAACAAUUAUUAGCAAUAACCAAUUGACAAUUUUUAAUACCUUGUUAUCAUCAAAACUCAUUAAGGUUCAUUGUGAAACACAUUUUGUUCCAACAGCGGGAGGUGUCCUGUGUUGAAGAGGUUAUGGUGAAUGCUAGUGGAACUACCUGAAAUUCCUAGCGUAGUUUCGAUACAAGGAUCUUCGAGAAGGCGGAAGACAUUCCGAUGGCUGAAGAGGUUAAAGUGUGUACUUGUGGAGCUACCUAAAAUUCCUAGCGUAGUGGGAAGCAAGAAUCUUCAAAAGGCGGAAGGUUUUCCAAUGGUUGAAGAGGUAAGGUGUAAACUUGUGGAUCUACUUGGUGUAGUGGGAAGCAAGGGAAAGAGCAGCAAUGUGUUGAUGUUAAAUUGGCAUCAUCACUAAUUUAGAGUCAAGGUGGAGAUUGUUGUGAAAGUGACUCAAAAUUGGAGAAAUUGGAGUUCCGAUGUUGUCUAAUUCGGUGGCCGAAUUGACUGGCUUGGUGGCAGAAUUUUAGUGUUGUUUUUUGUCUGUUGGUUCAGCAAAAAUCGGUGGCCGAAUGGAGGAAUUCGGGGCCCGAAUUUUCCAGCAGAAAAUAUAACAGAAACAUAUUUUUCGGCCUAGAUUUGUUUCAAUUUUAUGAGGGAUAAUUUUAAUAUAAAUAUAUACUUUGUAUCAGAGUAAACCUUGAGAUAGAGGAGGCUAAAACAAGGGUUUAGAAGCCAACAAGAAAACUAGGGUUUGUAUAGAGUCUGCUCUUGGCAACAAACACUAGGGUUUGGGUUGAUUUACCUUGAGAAACACUAUUAGGAUUGAGUCUCUUGUUCAUGGGAAGAUAUUAGGACUUUGGGUAGAAUUAGGCGGGAGACUUAUUCUUGUAACCCAUUGAUAUCUCUUUUAUAAAAUACUAGUAGUAAAAAAGCAGUUUUGGCCCGUAUUCAACAAUGCUUGGGGCGCACAGGCUUUGCUUGGGGAGCAUGGCCAUGCUCUGGGUGCAUUGACCAUGCUCAGGGCAGCUGUGAGUGCGUUCCGAUGCAUAAAUCCUUGUUUUUUCGUCCUUUUGGUUGUUUGCUUCCGUAUAAGAUGUCUUGGGACCCGGGAACAAAAUUUCUCCCUUCUAAUGUCUUAUGAGGCCACUUGAAUCUUCAUUCUUGAUCUUCCCAAAGUCUUCACUGAUCUUCAGAUGUCUUGAUUUGUCGAUUUCCAUGAUUUAUUCGUGAAUUACAUCAAAAACACCCUAGAAUUGCUAUAUUUCAGGAAAAAUAGAAUUACAAUCAUAAGCAAUUGAUCUAAUACUUCUCUGUUCUGCUUGUAAAAUGUACUAAAGAUGGUGAAUGGAAAAAAUUGUUUAAAAGAUGUCACCCUUCUUCUCUAUUAAUAGAAAAAAAUAAUAAUUAUUGAUUUAGCGUGGUUUAAGCCAACGCUAAUCCGACACUACUAGCAUAAAAAAUUUAGUCUCUUGAAAAAAAAAGGAUGAAUAUGUAAUUCUACUUAUAAUUAGUAACCAUGUUGUUGUCGCGAAUAAAUCAAAGGUGGCCAUGUUUUAAUGUAUAGGGAUCCGUAGCAAAUAUCUAACUCCAAUUAUUUUGUUAGUAAGCUUUUCCCAAAUAUAACCCACUUUAACCUAAGUCACAUUAUAACCUUGAAAGAUCUCUAAACUGUGUAUGACUGUACAUGACUUUGAAUGACGAUGACAAAACACUAGCAAGUGUACCAGUGUGCUGACAAGUAGUAAUAAUUAUAAAGGAUUUUUAUAUCAUGAGCAAAUUUGCACAUGUUAAGAAAUUUAAAAUGGUAAGUUAGUCUUGAAACUUGUGUAUUUUAUAUUAAAUAUACAACUUUUUAUUAAAUAAUUGAUGUUUUUCAAUAGAAAGUUACUACUUUAAGUUAACUUAACAUGCACAAUAUUGCACAUGUUAGACAAACCCAUUUAUAAAAGAUUUGUCUCCAUAGAGAGUGUCUAGUUUCAGUUCGACUACUGCGACUAUAGUUUGAGAAAUUUUAAUACAAUGGGAGGUUUAGAGAGAGAGAGUCUAUGCCAUGUCAGAAAGAGAGAAACUAUGAAUACCGUUAUAUUGAUUACUUAAUUUUAAUAUCUUUAAACAAAAUAGAUAGGCCAAUGACUUGGUCACUAACUAUCUUUAACAAUUAUGCCCCUUGAUGUCUCAUUGAUUACCAUAAAAACCCUUAAAUGUUUAAGAACACCAAAGUAAGUAGAAACAAUCAUUAGUGUAUGUCUAAAUAUAAUCAAAUGUAGAACAAUUAACAUAAGUCCGACCAACAAAGUUAUGACCAAUAUUCAUUUUGUGACCUCUAUCAAAUUAUGGACAUCCGUAGACACAUAAAUUGCAUUGAGAAUAAUAUUACUUUAUUAUUCAUUUUUUAAAAGUAAAACUAAAAAUGCAUUGAGAAUAAUAUUACUUUAUUAUUAAUUUUUUAAAAGUAAAACUAAAAAGUGUCAAGGAUAUGAAUUUAGCCAAGGGCACUAUAGAGGACACAUACACUUAGAGCCAAUGUUGUUGAUGUAACUGCAACAGACCUUGGCAAUCUUCCCUUAUCUCUCCUUAGGAAAAGGCCUUGAUAAAUAGGUAUAUUGAUAAGAACCAAAACCCCACUUAGUAAAACUUGCAAUAACAUUGUCUCAAAUAAUGUAACACUUGCUUUACCUAACACAACCUCCUUUAGCAACAUCCCAACAAGACAAAACAAAUUCAACAUUGCAAGUGUAGCCAAUAAAGUGAGCAUUGGAGUUGAGUUUCCAAACUCUAUAAUUUCCUUCUCAUAUCUUUGUGAAACAUUUUCCUCAGCUAUCUUAGUAGAUAUUAUGAAAUUUGAAUUUGAAAAUCCAAAAACUUUCAACAUGUUAUCUACAAAAGCAAAAAGGUAAGAACUUGUUCUCUUGUAAAGCCACAUCCUCAAUUCAUUCCACCAACCUUUAAUUGUACCUCCUACCCUCAAAAACUCUAACAAACAGUAUAUUGAAUCCCCAACUAUGACAUAUGCAAAAGGUAUGAACCAAGGACUUGAAAUCU